RNAcentral lists this ribosomal RNA (253 nucleotides) under uncultured bacterium. RNAcentral describes it as "partial 16S ribosomal RNA". It matches the Rfam family "Bacterial small subunit ribosomal RNA", at positions 524 to 776 of the family's 1533-position model. The record is from RNAcentral.
UACAGAGGUCCCAAGCGUUGUUCGGAUUCAUUGGGCGUAAAGGGUGCGUAGGCGGCGCGGUAAGUCGAGUGUGAAAUCUCGGAGCUUAACUUCGAAACUGCAUUCGAUACUGCCGUGCUUGAGGACUGGAGAGGAGACUGGAAUUUACGGUGUAGCGGUGAAAUGCGUGGAUAUCGUAAGGAAGACCAGUGGCGAAGGCGGGUCUCUGGACAGUUCCUGACGCUGAGGCACGAAGGCCAGGGGAGCAAACGGG